This 460-nucleotide ribosomal RNA is filed under the name uncultured bacterium. RNAcentral describes it as "partial 16S ribosomal RNA". It matches the Rfam family "Bacterial small subunit ribosomal RNA", at positions 338 to 795 of the family's 1533-position model. The record is from RNAcentral.
CCUACGGGUGACUGCAGUGAGGAAUAUUGGUCAAUGGGCGCGAGCCUGAACCAGCCAAGUCGCGUGAGGGAUGAAGGUUCUAUGGUUCGUAAACCUCUUUUAUAAGGGAAUAAAGUGUGGGUCGUGUCCGAUUUUGUAUGUACCUUAUGAAUAAGGAUCGGCUAACUCCGUGCAAGCAGCCGCGGUAAUACGGAGGAUCCGAGCGUUUUCCGGAUUUGUUGGGUUUAAGGGUUGCGAGGUGGUCCUUUUAAGGAAGCGGUGAAUGGCUGUGGCUCAACCAUGGACUUGCCGUUGAAACUGGGGGGCUUGAGUAUGUUUGAGGCAGGCGGAAUGCGUAGUGUAGCGGUGAAAUGCUUAGAUAUCACGCAGAACCCCGAUUGCGAAGGCAGCCUGCCAAGCCAUGACUGACGCUGAUGCACGAAAGCGUGGGGAUCAAACAGGAUUAGAUACCCUAGUAGUC